RNAcentral lists this ribosomal RNA (253 nucleotides) under uncultured bacterium. RNAcentral's name for it is "partial 16S ribosomal RNA". It matches the Rfam family "Bacterial small subunit ribosomal RNA", at positions 524 to 776 of the family's 1533-position model. The record is from RNAcentral.
UACGAAGGGGGCUAGCGUUGCUCGGAAUCACUGGGCGUAAAGCGCACGUAGGCGGAUCGUUAAGUCGGAGGUGAAAUCCUGGAGCUCAACUCCAGAACUGCCUUCGAUACUGGCGAUCUUGGAGUCCGGGAGAGGUGAGUGGAACUCCGAGUGUAGAGGUGAAAUUCGUAGAUAUUCGGAAGAACACCAGUGGCGAGGCGGCUCACUGGCCCGGUACUGACGCUGAGGUGCGAAAGCGUGGGGAGCAAACAGG